Molecule: ribosomal RNA, 429 nt
Filed under: Acidobacteriota bacterium
Lineage: Bacteria; Pseudomonadati; Acidobacteriota
Description: Acidobacteria bacterium partial 16S ribosomal RNA
Rfam family: Bacterial small subunit ribosomal RNA
Source: RNAcentral
UGGGGAAUUUUGGACAAUGGGGGAAACCCUGAUCCAGCCAUCCCGCGUGUGCGAUGAAGGCCUUCGGGUUGUAAAGCACUUUUGGCAGGAAAGAAACGUCAUGGGUUAAUACCCCGUGAAACUGACGGUACCUGCAGAAUAAGCACUGGCUAACUACGUGCCAGCAGCCGCGGUAAUACGUAGGGUGCAAGCGUUAAUCGGAAUUACUGGGCGUAAAGCGUGCGCAGGCGGUUCGGAAAGAAAGAUGUGAAAUCCCAGAGCUCAACUUUGGAACUGCAUUUUUAACUACCGGGCUAGAGUGUGUCAGAGGGAGGUGGAAUUCCGCGUGUAGCAGUGAAAUGCGUAGAUAUGCGGAGGAACACCGAUGGCGAAGGCAGCCUCCUGGGAUAACACUGACGCUCAUGCACGAAAGCGUGGGGAGCAAACAGG